Molecule: long non-coding RNA, 745 nt
Organism: Cryptotermes secundus
Lineage: Eukaryota; Metazoa; Arthropoda; Insecta; Blattodea; Kalotermitidae
Exons: 2
Source: RefSeq, a predicted model, not a curated record
CUUGCUUGUGGUUGAAUGGAAACGGUGCUCCGAACGGUAGCAUGCUCCAGAGUUCUCCAAAAUGAAAAAAGAAGAUUUAUUUUAAAUGGGUGCAAAGGGGUGGAAAGCGGCCAACCCUGGAGCUUGCUUGUUGUGUGUGGGAGGAGUUGCUUGGCCCCGUCAUGCCCAAUCCCACCCGGCUGCAACCCCCGAAGCAGCUACAUCGAUCCCGCCGCUGUGACCGUGACCUCGACCUACAAGAGCCUGAAUAUCACAGGUCACUUCUCACUCGCCCGUUCGCACUGGAGGCCACGGGUUGUUUCACUGAGACUGUCGCCUGGAGCCUGCUUACACAAGAGAUGAACUUCGCUCAAAGCCAGCAAAAAUAAACAAUUGCGAUUCAGAUUGUAGCUGUGUACAAUAUGUUUGGAGACCUUCUUUAUAGCAACUAUUCUGAGAACAGGAGUGACAAAAAGAACAUAUGUGGCUCUUAACUUUUCAAGCAUGGAUGAAAUUAUCAAAAUGACCUUGAACAUUUCAGCGAGCGCUAUUGCACUAUUUCUUUGAGGCCUAAUCAAUAAAACAAUUGUCACCCUUGUUGUAAAAUAUGGGAAAUGUUAAAAUAAAUUGUGGAGCUACGCGAAAGCAGAUGUCCUGUGAAUGUCAUGUUUUAACACAAUUUAGAGAGAACAUUGUAUUCCAGUGCAAUAAGUCGGAUUUCUGUAGUAACAAGACUAAAAUUAUUAGUGUUAAAUAAAACGAAAAG